GUGGGGAAUAUUGGACAAUGGGCGCAAGCCUGAUCCAGCCAUGCCGCGUGAGUGAUGAAGGCCCUAGGGUUGUAAAGCUCUUUCACCGGAGAAGAUAAUGACGGUACCAGCAGAAGAAGCCCCGGCUAACUCCGUGCCAGCAGCCGUGGUAAUACGGAGGGGGCUAGCGUUGUUCGGAAUUACUGGGCGUAAAGCGCACGUAGGCGGAUUGGAAAGUUGGGGGUGAAAUCCCGGGGCUCAACCCCGGAACUGCCUUCAAAACUCCCAUUCUUGAGGUCGAGAGAGGUGAGUGGAAUUCCGAGUGUAGAGGUGAAAUUCGUAGAUAUUCGGAGGAACACCAGUGGCGAAGGCGGCUCACUGGCUCGAUACUGACGCUGAGGUGCGAAAGCGUGGGGAGCAAACAGGAUUAGAUACCCGUGUAGUCC
This 425-nucleotide ribosomal RNA is filed under the name uncultured bacterium. Its description in RNAcentral is "partial 16S ribosomal RNA". It matches the Rfam family "Bacterial small subunit ribosomal RNA", at positions 354 to 796 of the family's 1533-position model. The record is from RNAcentral.